GAUUUUUAAUGUAGAAGAUGCUAAAUUUUGUGUUAUCCUGACUGUAGCUCAUAAUUCAUUUCUUUCUAGUGGCAUGUAAUAUUUUCUCCUGGGCCUUUCCCAAUUUUUUUUCAUCUUCUCUUAUUUGAUUUUUAGUCUUUUUAAAGUUCUUUCAAGAACUCUUUUGGGCUUGUGGCCAUUUUUCAUUUUCUUUGAAACUUUAUAAAUUGCUGUGUUUGACUUCAUUCUCUUCUUCUGAUUGUGAACCCUGAUCUUCUCUAUCACCUUACUCAUUUUUAACAGUCUCUUUCUUGGCUGAUAACCUUAUGUUUGGGUCGGACUCAGGGAUGUGGGGGAUGGUGCCUCUGGCUUUAGGUUUUUUCUUGCGGUUAUUUUUGCAGCUCAGUCUUCAGGCCUCGUAGCUCUCCGUUCUAUAACCCUAGGCCAGGUGUGGUGUCUGAAUUGCCCACAGGUGUUCCCUUCAGCCCUCCAGUCGUGACCAGGAAUGUGUCACCACAGAUGCGGAGACUUAAGUUGUGGCUCCCCAAAUUCCCGCCGGGAGCCACACGUGUCAGCCAUGGACCUUUGCUAUGGGGGAGGGACCAGAGCCUCGAGGACCUCAAGCAGUGUGCAUACUCCACGCCCUUACAACCACGGACUGGGGGCGUGGCUAUUCAGUGCGCCUGCACCUGCGUCCCGGCUCCCUCCUCAUAAUCUUCCCCUGAUUUUCAGCCUUACCCAACGGAGUCUGUGGAACAAAGGUUCCGUCGAACUCAACUGUCCCGGGGCUGUGAGGAUAUCUACCCUUCAGAGGACUUGUGCUCUUCAAUCAGACCAGAGCUCCACCCCAAAGGAUGCUCUGUUGAUGAAAACAGAAGUAUAAAGGCUGUAUCAAGGGAUCUGAAAUGCAGCAUUGGGGUCGCUGCAGCCAAGGUAUCUGGUGAAUUGGUCUGUGCAGUUCAGGUCUUCUUAGAGCCAUCAACAAUGACACCCCGGAG
This 977-nucleotide long non-coding RNA is filed under the name Monodelphis domestica (gray short-tailed opossum). RNAcentral describes it as "lncRNA (ENSMODG00000048686.1)". The record is from RNAcentral. Lineage: Eukaryota; Metazoa; Chordata; Mammalia; Didelphimorphia; Didelphidae.